GAUUAUUUGCUGCCCAGUAAUAUCAUGGCUUGCACUUUCUGUGUGGAUCAGGAUCAUGUUUGCUGAUGUUCUUUUGGACAGAAGAAAGGUUGUGGAUGUUACAGAAGUGACAUCCAUUCCUGCUUGCUAAAAAUCACCUGCCACCUCAACUGGAUACAUCUGUCUCUGUUUCCUGUCCUUGCUCCAGAUCAUUGCUACUGGGGCCUUGCUUUUCUUCCACCGAAGGAGAUGGGAGCUUUGCCACAGCUGCAGUGACAGCAGUAGGAGAGCAGACACAGAUUAGGCAAGGUGUUGGAGGAUUUUCUGCACGCUCUUAGGUAUAAUGGAAACCAGUGAGACUGAGCUGGCUGACAAAGGAGCUGCAAGAGGACUAACACAGAGGACACCUAAACCCACCUAGCACAGAAAUCACUGGGGCUUUGAUGCAGCUGCACUGGUAGAGGGCUACUUACACCAAUGUAAUGAUAAAAAUAUGGCAGCGUUUUUGGUGUAUUUUUUCCAGUAAACAAGGUAUGUAUAUUGCAGCCUGUCCCAAACUGAUGAAGUUUCCUUUGAUUUGUGUUCAAAAUAUGUUCUAUGAAGUUUCCUGAGCCAGCAAGUGAGGUUUCUUUUUUCUGCACCCUCCCUUCCCAGUUUGAACAGCUAUUUUAAACUGGAGGUGUGGCCACUGAGACAGACACACACAUGCUGUCAGUGCUGGCCUUGACAUUUGUUCUGUUGCCAGUUAACCUUUUCCCCCAAUACCAACCUCCUGUUUACAUUAACCCUUGAUCAACAAGCCUUGUUCUCCUUCUGUCUUUUAGGAACUGUGUCAUAAAUUGCAGUAAAUUAAUUUAUUUAUGGAUUCUGAACUUGAACAACUUCCAUGAGCACAAGGUAAACUGAAGCAUAUGUUCCACUAUGCCGCUCGAUACAGCAGUCAGAAGAGGAAGAACAUCCACACUCCACCUCUGUGAUGGCGUGAUACACUUCAGAAUGUGGAAGGGAAAGAAGAAAACCCAGUAAGAGAGACUGGAGCUCUAAGCCUCAUACUGUAAACAUCACCCAGAUGAUGCUGUGGCAAGAAAAUAGAUCAUGGAAUGCAUUGAAACAGCCACACAAAUCCUCCAGACCAUGAUUUAUUUUGCGAGAUCCUGUUUUAUCUCAUCAUGAGGGACUUGGUAAGCUUGAGAAGCCCUCUGAUACAGCCCCCGACUGGUUGAGAGGCACAGCUGCCAGCCAUUCACCUCGGAGCCAUCUUUUACCUGAAGGGUCAGACCUUGGGUUCACACUCCACACGAAUGGACAGCAGUUAUACAGAAGCUUAGAAGCAAAUACCCUAAACACUGUGAAACACGACUGUAAAUAAAACU
Melopsittacus undulatus (budgerigar) is the source of this 1352-nucleotide long non-coding RNA. RefSeq lists it as uncharacterized. The record is from RefSeq and is a predicted model, not a curated record. NCBI's taxonomy places the organism in Eukaryota, Metazoa, Chordata, Aves, Psittaciformes, Psittaculidae. The transcript has 5 exons.